UACGUAGGGAGCAAGCGUUAUCCGGAAUUAUUGGGUUUAAAGGGUGCGUAGACGGGAUAACAAGUUGGUUGUGAAACCCCUCGGCUCAACUGAGGAACUGCAACCAAAACUAUUAUUCUUGAGUGCAGGAGAGGAAAGUGGAAUUCCUAGUGUAGCGGUGAAAUGCGUAGAUAUUAGGAAGAACACCGGUGGCGAAGGCGACUUUCUGGACUGUAACUGACGUUGAGGCACGAAAGUGUGGGGAGCAAACAGG
This 253-nucleotide ribosomal RNA is filed under the name uncultured bacterium. Its description in RNAcentral is "partial 16S ribosomal RNA". It matches the Rfam family "Bacterial small subunit ribosomal RNA", at positions 524 to 776 of the family's 1533-position model. The record is from RNAcentral.